ACACCGUUGGUGGAACGGUAUCAUGUAACAUUCCCAUUGUUACGUCACGGGUUCGACUCCCGUACGGUGUA
Kwoniella mangroviensis CBS 10435 is the source of this 71-nucleotide transfer RNA. It matches the Rfam family "tRNA". From Rfam's summary of the family: Transfer RNA (tRNA) molecules are approximately 80 nucleotides in length. Their secondary structure includes four short double-helical elements and three loops (D, anti-codon, and T loops). The record is from Rfam. NCBI's taxonomy places the organism in Eukaryota, Fungi, Basidiomycota, Tremellomycetes, Tremellales, Cryptococcaceae.